Molecule: long non-coding RNA, 4405 nt
Filed under: Nicotiana tabacum (common tobacco)
Lineage: Eukaryota; Viridiplantae; Streptophyta; Magnoliopsida; Solanales; Solanaceae
Description: long non-coding RNA (NTAB_LNC001908)
Source: RNAcentral
AACUUCCUAGGAAUCUUUACUACUAUCAACACCUUUGGAACAAAUUAGCGGGUCCAUACCUGAAUGAAGAGGACACGGUUAGCGACUCAAGACACUAUGUGACACCACAAUACUUCUUAUUUAACACAUGCACGAUAUGAUUGGGUUGUUUUUGCAAAAUAGCCUAUGUGGCCAAAGGUGGCUAUUAGUGCAAACUCAAAAAAGGUGACCUCUAAGACAUGGAAAUAUCCCACUGAGGCUUAUACGACUUCGAACUCCAAAUAAUCAUGGCCUAAAAAUUACUUUGCAGAACUGACCUAUAUUGUAAAAACGACUGAUAUGGCCAAACAUGGCUAGAGACGCAAAUCCAACAAGGACGGAGCUUAAAGGAAUGGGACACCUAGUUGUGUACUCAAGAUUUCAAGACCCGGGCCACUGAAUCACUUUUGCAAAAAUAACUCCAUUUUGCAAAACGGUUGAGGUGGCCAGAAGUGGCUAGACAUGCAAAUUCAACAAGGGCAAACUUUAAAGUAAGGAGAUACCUAAUUGUGGAUUCAAGACCCUCUGAACGUGGUUCAAAAAGUCACUUUACGAAUAGCCCUAUUUUGCAAAACAGCGUGUGUCCGAAAGUGGCUAGACAUGCAAGACUUGGUUAUAACCCCGUAGACCAAGACCUUGAGACUCACUUGGAAAAGGAGGAAGAUCGGACCCUAUGUGAGUUGCCUACGUAUCUCACCCCAAAAGACGAGAAUCAGGUAUGCGUAGUUCGGGAAGAUUGGAUAUGGGAGAAAACUUUCAAAAAAAUGCAACUAAUUUGAAAAAAACUAUUUUUUGCCUUUUUUUGAAAAUAAUAAGUGUAAAAUCCUUUUUGUUAUUUUUUUUUCUUUUAGAAAAUGGGGAAAGAAAUUAAAAGUGAUAAAACCCUCAAUAUUCUCUCUUACUUCAUUUUUCACACUUCUUUCCCGAAGAUCAGUCCGCCAAAUGACAUUUCUGCCCUUAAAUAUGCAACAUUUAGCACAUAGGAUGAUUGAAUGUCCUUUUAGACCGGCGGACCCAUUUGACACAAUUUGGACAAGCUUCCUACAAAAGACACGGUACGUCGCAUCGGGCCCUGCUAGGUCAUAAUGAUAUGAUGCAAAUAAAAAUGACCUAAAGGUUGACCUAUAUCGGGGGGAGCGUAUGGUGGAUAAUAGCUGCUCAAGCUUUCCAUCCACUCCAUAUGUCCUACCUCCCCCCCCCCCCCACCCUCCCCCAAAAUAAGGGUGACUCAACAAAGAGUUCAUUUAUGCGACGCGUACUACAAGUUUUGUUGCAGAAAGAAUUGACCGGGUAAUGCAUAUGAUGACAGUUAUAAAGCAGUAACACAUAAAGAAAAAAACUAUAAACACAUAAACAACUAACAGAUAAUAAAAUGACAUAAACAAAAUAAAAAUCAAAUAAUGCAAAUAAAAAACAUAAAAACCUCAACCGAAUAUUCUAAAAAGCCAACAAGAUCAAGUAUCAGCUCGAACCUGCGACUCCCCAGAAGAGUUGUCAAAGCUGUCACACCCUUUUUUCACUCCUUAACCCCUUUAAAAAUAUAAAAAGAUUUUUGAAGAUCAAAAGGGUUUUUCAAAUUUGAAAAGUGACAAAAUUGUGUUUUAAAAUAUUGUUCAGAGUCGUCACCUGACAUUUGAUUUCGGUGUGCAAGGUUACCGUUUCUAAAGAAAACAAUUUUACUUCACAACAUAUUUGACUCUAAAAUUGACUACACCAGAGACUCUAGAUAAAGGGGUUCAUUUGACUCAGGGAGAAGGUGUUAGGCAUUCCCCGAGUCCCGUAACUAGUACGGUUGCAUACAUGAUCUGGUUGGCUUUAAAGAAUAUUCGAAUGGAAAUAAAAACACAGAAAAAGAAAAAUAAACACAAAAGAGGUUCCAGGUCGUCCCAACCUAAUAAAAGAAAAAGAAAAAAAAAGAAAAAAAAAAGUACUAAAAGAGAAUAUACUAAGAGUUCUAAUCUAUCCUACACUACGCUUCAUCCACGAUGUAGCUUCGGCCACCGUUUACAUUCACUUCGGGGCAUUCCCCGAAAAAGAGUAAAAAAAAAUUAUACAAACUCUACCGGGUAUCCCCCGAAUGAAUUAAUUGACUAAAGGGGUGUCCUCUUACCUCACACGAAACUAAAACACAAAAUAUUCUAAUGCUUUGCCUACCCAACUGUUGUCGGCCUAAGCAUACUCCUAACACAAAAUGUAAUAAAAGUAAAAUAGAUAAAAUUAAAAGAAAUAAAAAAUAAUUUCACGCUCAUUCCCUUUUUAACUUCUUAUUUCAUGCAUUUGACGAGCCCAAUUUUUAAGGCAUGUAAACAAUUUAAUCACUAAUGAGCUCGGCCUUGUCCUACUCCCGCAACCCCAUUCAUAAAGACAAAACCAAAUAAGAAAUCCCCAAACAGCUUGAACAAUGGAACAACAAAAUGACAAUAGACAAAAUUAAAAGGGAUCAAAAUAUGAUGAGAGCCAUAGAACUUCCUAUUAAACUCAACUACCCUACCCUCACUCUAGGUGACCAACAACACUUCAAAUGAUUUCGAGGUUGAUUUUAUAGAGUUACGGUCAUCCUAGCAAUUUGCACAUUGAUUAUGAAACACCAUUCCCCUCUCUGUUAAUCCCAUUUUUAGCAUGUUGGCAACUAUUAGAAGACUAUUAACAGUCAACAAAAAGGAAAGAAAGGCACGAGAGAGCAGGGCGUUUGAUCAGAGAUCCACAUUUCACUUUCUAAAUUGGAAAAAAUGAUUUCAAAACUAUAUGGCACAAGCAGCAGCUUCUCACUAUCUCUAAAUACGAAAUCCCGAGGCAAGAAGGCAUGAACAUAACACAAAUAAGCGCAAGAAUAAAUGAACUUUGAUUGAACAUGACAGAAUGGAAAACCUCAGCAUCACAGAUCAUUUUUGAAUAACUUUGCAUUCUUACUAAUUUUCAUAUCGAAGAAGGGGCCGUUUACGCCAAUUUUAGCCAUGAAUAAUGAGAUGUUCUAAACAACUACCAAUCAUGAGAAAACAACCAGAUAAGUAAUUAAUCUUUCGCUUAAACUCAAACACACCUGAAUUUAAAUGACAUUCAAGUGACCCGAAGAAGACAAAUACUCUCAUGUAUGAAUAGAAGAAUUUAAUCAGACAAGCUCCUAAAAUUGGAUUUCAGAUUGCCACAGCGAAAUAGCACAAUUAAUUAAGAUUCAAAAACAGUACAUUUUCAGACUGCAGAAAACAGGGAUGCCAAAUAUCAUUUAAAACAUAGCCAUCACUCUAACACCAAAUGAUCAACCAUACUGCCUUUAGCACAAUAGAACAUGUUUGAGGUGUAAAAUGAUCUAAUUGAUUCAACAAGAGAUAAAGAAUAUCAGGGAUGAUUUCAGUAAUUUCAAGCUAACAAAACACACUAAAAUAGUCAUGAAAUCAGAAGCAAGGCACUCUGCUGACUUAUGAUUCGUUUAGCAGUCCUACACUUAACCAAUUCAAGUUGAACACGUCGAAACUAAGAAUUUAGAUUGAGAAGAUUACUUUGAACACCAAAACACUUCAUGGAUAGCAGAAAAACUCACUCGAGUCAGCCCACGAAUUGAUCUUACACCUAAAUCUCGAACUAAUUAAACUAUGGCUCUUAUCAUAUUAAAAUCUACACCACAAAAUCAGUAAGACAAGGGAGAGAGAUGGACCUGAAGGCUGAACUUUUAAUUAACGAAAGUUUCCAGUAAUUACACGAGCAAAUAAACCAACAGUUACAGCCGGAACUAAAAAAUGGCAACCAAACUCGAACGGAACCGCAGACUCGAACCCCACUAGUGAUCUUCGCGCAACCCAAACAUAAAACAGCUCCAAACUCAAAUGAACUCCAUGAAUUUGGAACAAAAAAUCGAAAUCGAAGUCAAAGGGAAGAAGCAGAAACUUCUCUAUGUUUUUUUUGUUUUCUAAUUUAUAUCUCUCUCUAACUCAAACUCAAAUUAACAUACUCAUAGAAACUCUUUUUUUUUCUUUUCAAAAUUUGGACAAUAAAAUUGAAGAGCUCCCCAAACCCUAGAACUUUCCUCCCAAUUUUCCGAAAAUUCCCUAUGGAAAACCUGAAAACUUCACAAUAUAUAGUUCUCUCUCAAUUAUUCUUCCAUUUCUCUCCAAGAAAUCCUAAUUUUUUUCUAAAAUCCCCUGUUUUUUACUCUUUUCAGACUAAUUUCGAACAAAUGGAAUGAUAGGAUUUAAGUCAAUCAAAUCCUACGACUCCCAUUAAUCCAAAUCCAUCCAAGAGUUUUCAAAACGCGCUAAUAAUUCUGAGAAUAUGCGUGUGAGAUGAGAGAGAAUAUUCUCAUGUCAGAAAGUCAUAAUGGUUGGGACCAUGUGGAAGAAAUAUAAGGAUAGAAGAGGGGUGUUACAACGAGGUUUUAUAUGAAGGGUUGGGG